UUUUUUCCCUGGUCUUUUUACUGGCAUGAGAAAAAAUUGAGAAUUUAAUUGCACGAGACUACUUGGAAACAGUGAGGCUGAAAGCUUGCAAGGCAGAGGGACGAGAAGGGAAGGCUCUGGCAGCAGAGCAUGGAUAGGAACGGAGCGGAGCUUCUGCGGUGCUCCGUGUGCACAUGUUUCAUGAGAUCAGUGCCGGGCGCUGCAGCUGCGGACACUCACUGAGCUGUCUGGCUAAUGAAGGCCACCUGGAUCAGGCUUCUGAAAAGAGCCAAAGGAGGACGUCUGAAGAAUUCUGAUAUCUGUGGUUCGGCGGACUCCUACACCAGCCGUCCAUCCGAUUCAGAUGUAUCUCUGGAAGAAGACAGGGAAGCAGUGCGGAGAGAGGCAGAGCGACAGGCCCAGGCACAGCUGGAAAAAGCGAAG
This is a non-coding RNA of Tinamus guttatus (white-throated tinamou), 423 nucleotides long. The record is from RefSeq and is a predicted model, not a curated record. NCBI's taxonomy places the organism in Eukaryota, Metazoa, Chordata, Aves, Tinamiformes, Tinamidae.